RNAcentral lists this ribosomal RNA (262 nucleotides) under uncultured archaeon. RNAcentral describes it as "partial 16S ribosomal RNA". It matches the Rfam family "Archaeal small subunit ribosomal RNA", at positions 748 to 1008 of the family's 1478-position model. The record is from RNAcentral.
AGGGUGUAAACGCUGCAGACUUGGUGUUGGAGGCCCUUUGGGGGCAUUCAGUGCCGGAGAGAAGUUGUUAAGUCUGCUACUUGGGGAGUACGUCCGCAAGGAUGAAACUUAAAGGAAUUGGGCGGGGGAGCACCGCAACGGGAGGAGCGUGCGGUUUAAUUGGAUUCAACACCGUAAAACUCACCAGGGAAGACUGUUACAUGAAGGCCGAGAUGAAGACUCUGCUAGAUUUUCAGAGAGGAGGUGCAUGGCGUCAGUGACU